This 439-nucleotide ribosomal RNA is filed under the name uncultured bacterium. RNAcentral's name for it is "bacterial SSU rRNA". It matches the Rfam family "Bacterial small subunit ribosomal RNA", at positions 340 to 774 of the family's 1533-position model. The record is from RNAcentral.
UACGGAAGGCAGCAGUGGGGAAUAUUGCACAAUGGGCGCAAGCCUGAUGCAGCCAUGCCGCGUGUAUGAAGAAGGCCUUCGGGUUGUAAAGUACUUUCAGUCGUGAGGAAGGUGUUAAGGUUAAUAACCUUAGCAAUUGACGUUAGCGACAGAAGAAGCACCGGCUAACUCCGUGCCAGCAGCCGCGGUAAUACGGAGGGUGCGAGCGUUAAUCGGAAUUACUGGGCGUAAAGGGCACGCAGGCGGUUAAUUAAGUUGGAUGUGAAAUCCCCGGGCUUAACCUGGGAAUGGCAUUCAAGACUGGUUAGCUAGAGUCUUGUAGAGGGGGUAGAAUUCCAUGUGUAGCGGUGAAAUGCGUAGAGAUGUGGAGGAAUACCGGUGGCGAAGCGGCCCCUGGACAAAGACUGACGCUCAUGUGCGAAAGCGUGGGGAGCGAAAC